UCUUCUGGCACUGAAUAAUUGUAGCGCACGUUCUUCUUUAUGUGGAUUCAUCUAGUGAUUAUUCUCUAACUGCUUGUGCCUUUAUCCUUUUCCUUGACUUUCAUCUCAUGAAUACCUUGAUUGACUUUGACUUUCAUUGACUUUCUUUCGUAGGCUAGAAAAAGGACGAUUUGCGUCCCACCAAGUGCGUCGCACUAAAACGAAAACGACGCAAAAACCUAAUUUGCGUCGCACGGGAGCCAGACUGCGACGCAAAAUAGAGCCAUAUGCGUCGGAUCAUCAUGAAGUGCGACGCAUAUCAAGGAUGUGCGUCGGACCCCCUGGCCCAUCCGAUGCAAAUCACUUGACUCAUGAAUGUGCUGUACAUGGGCUAAGCGCGUCGAGUCGUCUUCACGUGCGACGCAGAUGGGCUUCCCAUAAAGCCCAUAUUAAAUCCCUUUACCCUACCUACCCUCUCAGUCUCUCAGCCGUUCCUUUCAUUUAUCCUUCAAACCCCACCCCACUAAUCUCUCUCCCAGUUUUGAACGCUUCUUCCUUUCAUUUAUCCUUCAAAUCCCCCCAAAACACCAACUACAUCAAAAUUCGAACGAAUCGUUUUCUCAAGUUCACAAGUUCGCAUCAACAAAUCGUAUUUCAUUCACAGUCGAGCGCCUUUUCCGUUUUCCGGCGAGCGACCGAACGUAAAGCUUCCAGGGAAAGAACGAACUCAUGAGUAAGACCUUCACGUUUUCCGGCGAGCGUCUUCAUGAGUAAGACUUUGACAGAUCUGAAAAUUUGCUCUUCUCGAAGUCGUCUCCCUCGAGCACAUUGGAAAACGUCGGCCUUAAUCUUUUUAGAUGGAACAGGAAUUGUACUCAGAUACAUAGUUACUUAUAAUGAACGAUAUUAUUUUCAGAUGAAAUUGUUCUAGAUUUAAUUUUAAUUUUACAUUUUUUUAUCUAUAUUAUUAUAGUGGUUUGUAAUAUUAUACUUGUAAUACAUAUUUGUAAUACGACAUUGUUAAUGUAGAAAUACAUUUUUUUAUAUCUAUAUUAUUACACAAUUCGAUUGUGAUCUUUAA
Molecule: long non-coding RNA, 1060 nt
Organism: Beta vulgaris subsp. vulgaris (sugar beet)
Lineage: Eukaryota; Viridiplantae; Streptophyta; Magnoliopsida; Caryophyllales; Amaranthaceae
Exons: 2
Source: RefSeq, a predicted model, not a curated record